GAUGAAGAACGCAGCGAAAUGCGAUAAGUAAUGUGAAUUGCAGAAUUCAGUGAAUCAUCGAAUCUUUGAACGCACAUUGCGCCCCUUGGUAUCCCGAGGGGCAUGCCUGUUCGAGCGUCAUUAUAACCCCUCAAGCUCAGCUUGGUGUUGGGGCCUGCUGCACUGGCAGCCCUUAAAAUCAGUGGCGGCGCCAUCUGGCUCUAAGCGUAGUAAUUCUUCUCGCUAUGGAGUCCUGGUGGAUGCUUGCCAUCAACCCCCAAUUUUUCUAUGGUUGACCUCGGAUCAGGUAGGGAUACCCGCUGAACUUAAGCAUAUCAAUAAGCGGAGGA
RNAcentral lists this unclassified non-coding RNA (329 nucleotides) under soil metagenome. RNAcentral's name for it is "partial contains 5.8S ribosomal RNA, internal transcribed spacer 2, and large subunit ribosomal RNA". The stretch from base 1 to 120 matches the Rfam family "5.8S ribosomal RNA", at positions 35 to 154 of the family's 154-position model. The record is from RNAcentral.